This 425-nucleotide ribosomal RNA is filed under the name uncultured bacterium. RNAcentral describes it as "partial 16S ribosomal RNA". It matches the Rfam family "Bacterial small subunit ribosomal RNA", at positions 354 to 796 of the family's 1533-position model. The record is from RNAcentral.
GUGGGGAAUCUUGCGCAAUGGGCGAAAGCCUGACGCAGCCAUGCCGCGUGAAUGAUGAAGGUCUUAGGAUUGUAAAAUUCUUUCACCGGGGACGAUAAUGACGGUACCCGGAGAAGAAGCCCCGGCUACCUUCGUGCCAGCAGCCGCGGUAAUACGAAGGGGGCUAGCGUUGCUCGGAAUUACUGGGCGUAAAGGGCGCGUAGGCGGACAGUUUAGUCAGAGGUGAAAGCCCAGGGCUCAACCUUGGAAUUGCCUUUGAUCCUGGCUGUCUUGAGUACGGGAGAGGUGAGUGGAACUCCGGGUGUAGAGGUGAAAUUCGUAGAUAUUCGGAAGAACACCAGUGGCGAAGGCGACUCACUGGCCCGUUACUGACGCUGAGGCGCGAAAGCGUGGGGAGCAAACAGGAUUAGAAACCCGGGUAGUCC